GUUGACGUCUAUCACAUGGAUCAACGAGUUUGUGAAGCUUGGUGGGGAACAACUUGUUCCUUACUAUGCAGAUAUAUUGUGUGCUAUCUUACCAUGCAUAUCUGACGAGGAGGAGAAAAUCCGAGUGGUUGCACGUGAAACAAAUGAGGAACUAUGUGCUAUAAAAGCUGAUCCAACUGAGGGAUUUGAUAUUGGAGCAAUCCUUUCAAUCGC
Zea mays is the source of this 213-nucleotide RNA transcript. RefSeq lists it as uncharacterized. Lineage: Eukaryota; Viridiplantae; Streptophyta; Magnoliopsida; Poales; Poaceae. The record is from RefSeq and is a predicted model, not a curated record. The transcript is spliced from 3 exons.